CCUACGGGAGGCAGCAGUAGGGAAUCUUCGGCAAUGGGGGCAACCCUGACCGAGCAACGCCGCGUGAGUGAAGAAGGUUUUCGGAUCGUAAAGCUCUGUUGUAAGUCAAGAACGAGUGUGAGAGUGGAAAGUUCACACUGUGACGGUAGCUUACCAGAAAGGGACGGCUAACUACGUGCCAGCAGCCGCGGUAAUACGUAGGUCCCGAGCGUUGUCCGGAUUUAUUGGGCGUAAAGCGAGCGCAGGCGGUUUGAUAAGUCUGAAGUUAAAGGCUGUGGCUCAACCAUAGUUCGCUUUGGAAACUGUCAAACUUGAGUGCAGAAGGGGAGAGUGGAAUUCCAUGUGUAGCGGUGAAAUGCGUAGAUAUAUGGAGGAACACCGGUGGCGAAAGCGGCUCUCUGGUCUGUAACUGACGCUGAGGCUCGAAAGCGUGGGGAGCGAACAGGAUUAGAUACCCUUGUAGUC
This 465-nucleotide ribosomal RNA is filed under the name uncultured Streptococcus sp. Its description in RNAcentral is "bacterial SSU rRNA". It matches the Rfam family "Bacterial small subunit ribosomal RNA", at positions 338 to 795 of the family's 1533-position model. Lineage: Bacteria; Bacillati; Bacillota; Bacilli; Lactobacillales; Streptococcaceae. The record is from RNAcentral.